Molecule: ribosomal RNA, 390 nt
Filed under: Triticum aestivum (bread wheat)
Lineage: Eukaryota; Viridiplantae; Streptophyta; Magnoliopsida; Poales; Poaceae
Description: partial small subunit ribosomal RNA
Source: RNAcentral
AUGCAGAAUCGUUUCGGUCUACUUGACACGGACGUGAUGCCUAUGUUCAUGAUCAUUGCCUUAGAUGUCUUCAUAAUUAUGUGCUUUUCUAUCAAUUGCUCGGCAGUAAUUUGUUCACCCACCGUAAUACAUGCUAUCUUGAGAGAAGCCACUAGUGAAACCUAUGGCCCCCGGGUCUCUUUCCUAUUAUAUUACAUAUAUUUUAUUUACAUCGCAUCUCGUUUACUAUUUUGCAAUCUUUACUUUCCAAUCUAUACAACAAAAAUACAAAAAAUAUUUACUUUACUAUCUCUAUCAGAUCACACUUUUGCGAGUGACCGUGAAGGGAUUGACAACCCCUUUAUCGCGUUGGUUGCAAGGUUCUUGAUUGUUUGUGCAGGUACUAGGUGA